Molecule: unclassified non-coding RNA, 208 nt
Filed under: Glomeraceae sp.
Lineage: Eukaryota; Fungi; Glomeromycota; Glomeromycetes; Glomerales; Glomeraceae
Description: partial internal transcribed spacer 2
Rfam family: 5.8S ribosomal RNA (bases 1-71)
Source: RNAcentral
GUGAAUCAUCGAAUCUUUGAACGCAAAUUGCACUUUCUUGUAUUCCGGAAAGUGUGUCUGGGUGAGGUUCAAUUAAAUAUAAAUCGGGGUUGUUGCUGCCUUUCUUGGUGACGCUUCGGAUUUGAUUCAUCUUACCUUCGGUUAAGUGACUUAAAAUGUUUGCAUGAUUUACUAAGGUAUUUGAAUCGUUUACGUACGGGUUAUCUAU